RNAcentral lists this ribosomal RNA (705 nucleotides) under Triticum aestivum (bread wheat). RNAcentral describes it as "partial small subunit ribosomal RNA". Lineage: Eukaryota; Viridiplantae; Streptophyta; Magnoliopsida; Poales; Poaceae. The record is from RNAcentral.
AUGGCUAAUGGUACGUGGGAUGAGGCGCUAAUAACAAGUUUAUUCAAUCCAGUGGAUGCCCAUAGAAUUAUUCAGAUUCCACUACACUUGCAUGGUUUUGAUGACUUUGUGGCAUGGCACCCGAACAGGAUAGGUAUUUUCUCAGAAAAGAGUGCAUAUCAUAUGCAGUGGAUGCAUAGUUUUCGGGCGCAUGCAAAUACGAUGGGACACCCUGGUGGCUCUACCACUCGGGCAGUGUGGAAUACUCUCUGGAAACUUCAAAUUCCACUUAAAGUACAGAUUUUUUGUUGGCGAGCACUGCGAGGAGUUAUCCCACUAAGAGCUAUACUUACUAACAGGCACAUUGGUUCCAAUGGUGCUUGUCCUAUCUGUCAUCAAGGGGCCGAGGAUAUCCAUCAUUUAAUGUUUUUAUGCUCAAAUGCACGACACUUGUGGACGAAGCUCGGCAUCACAAAUAUCAUCAACCAAGCGAUCUAGGUUGAUAGAUUGGGGUCUGCGAUCUUGGAAUUUAUCUUAUCAUUGCCGGACCAGCAGCUUGAGAUGCACCCAAUAAUUAACUUCAAACAAAUAAUAGCCGUUGGGGGCUGGUACCUUUGGUGGAUCCGUAAAACAGUGAUGCACAAUGAAUCAAUUCCUCCCCCUUGGAGGUGGAACUCUCUGUGUUAUCAAUCUCAAGCAACCAUCAGAGGGCUACAUCGCUGGUGA